GAAGGUGGCGAGCGUUGUUCGGAAUUAUUGGGCUUAAAGAGCACGUAGGCGGAACAGAAAGUGUCUUGUGAAAACCCCCGGCUUAACCGGGGAAUUGCUUGGCAAACUUCUGUUCUUGAGUCAAGUAGGGGUACAUGGAACUCUUAGUGGAGCGGUGGAAUGCGUAGAUAUUAAGAGGAACGCCAAUGGUGAAGACAGUGUACUGGGCUUGUACUGACGCUGAGGUGCGAAAGCGUGGGGAGCGAACGGGAUUAGAUACCCCGGGUAGUCCACGCUGUAAACGAUGUCUACUAGGUUGUGGUUGUUCUGACACAUUCACAGCCGAAGCAAAAGUGUUAAGUAGACCGCCUGGGGAGUACGGUCGCAAGGCUA
Molecule: ribosomal RNA, 372 nt
Filed under: uncultured organism
Description: partial 16S ribosomal RNA
Rfam family: Bacterial small subunit ribosomal RNA
Source: RNAcentral